CUUUGGUUGAAUUUAGGCAAGAUCAAGAUGAACCCACCUGAGAUAUGGGGACAGCUCCCAUACUCAUGGAUCCCACCUGGAUACAGACACUACUGUUCCUACUACCUGGCCUGUGGAAGGAGAAGGCUCCUUCGGGUGGAGUCACAUAACUAUUGUGGUCCUUUUCUGUGACUCUCAUGCACAGUGGAGAUCUGCGGGUCAGAGCAUCAUCUUGUUCUCCUCCAAGUUACAUUACACUGCAAUCCUUUCAUGUCCUACUGGGAUGGAGUAUUCCAGCAAGUCACCUGCCUUCAGAAAUCUCCAGAAACAUUUACUUAGUCAUGCUGCUGCUAAGUUGCUUCAGUUGUGUCCGACUCUGUGCGACCCCAUAGACGGCAGCCCAUCAGGC
Molecule: long non-coding RNA, 388 nt
Filed under: Capra hircus (goat)
Lineage: Eukaryota; Metazoa; Chordata; Mammalia; Artiodactyla; Bovidae
Description: lncRNA (ENSCHIG00000003999.1)
Source: RNAcentral